UACAGAGGUCUCGAGCGUUAGGCGGAAUCACUGGGCUUAAAGCGUGUGUAGGCGGAUCGGUAAGUACCUUGUGAAAUCCCACAGCUUAACUGUGGAACUGCUUGGUAUACUGCCAGUCUUGAGCCACUUAGGGGCUACCGGAACAAAUGGUGGAGCGGUGAAAUGCGUAGAUAUCAUUUGGAACGCCAAUGGUGAAAACAGGUAGCUGGGAGUGUGCUGACACUGAGACACGAAAGCCAGGGGAGCGAACGGG
Molecule: ribosomal RNA, 253 nt
Filed under: uncultured bacterium
Lineage: Bacteria
Description: partial 16S ribosomal RNA
Rfam family: Bacterial small subunit ribosomal RNA
Source: RNAcentral